GACGAACUGUGCGAACGUUAUUCGGAAUCACUGGGCUUACAGGGUGCGUAGGCGGCCAGGUAAGUAGGGUGUGAAAUCCCCCGGCCCAACCGGGGAACUGCGCUCUAAACUACUUGGCUUGAGUGAGCUAGGGGUCCACGGAACUUCCAGUGGAGCGGUGAAAUGUGUUGAUAUUGGAAGGAACACCGGAGCCGAAAGGGGUGGACUGGGGCUCAACUGACGCUGAGGCACGAAAGCCAGGGUAGCGAACGGG
Molecule: unclassified non-coding RNA, 253 nt
Filed under: uncultured Planctomycetales bacterium
Lineage: Bacteria; Pseudomonadati; Planctomycetota; Planctomycetia; Planctomycetales
Description: contains 16S-23S intergenic spacer region
Rfam family: Bacterial small subunit ribosomal RNA
Source: RNAcentral